Molecule: ribosomal RNA, 253 nt
Filed under: uncultured bacterium
Lineage: Bacteria
Description: partial 16S ribosomal RNA
Rfam family: Bacterial small subunit ribosomal RNA
Source: RNAcentral
UACAGAGGUCUCAAGCGUUGUUCGGAUUCAUUGGGCGUAAAGGGUGUGUAGGUGGCGCCGUAAGUCGGGUGUGAAAUUUCGGAGCUUAACUCCGAAACUGCAUUCGAUACUGCGGUGCUUGAGGACUGGAGAGGAGACUGGAAUUUACGGUGUAGCAGUGAAAUGCGUAGAUAUCGUAAGGAGGACCAGUGGCGAAGGCGGGUCUCUGGACAGUUCCUGACACUGAGACACGAAGGCCAGGGGAGCAAACGGG